Long non-coding RNA from Brassica napus (rape), 136 nucleotides. RefSeq lists it as uncharacterized. The record is from RefSeq and is a predicted model, not a curated record. The transcript is spliced from 2 exons. NCBI's taxonomy places the organism in Eukaryota, Viridiplantae, Streptophyta, Magnoliopsida, Brassicales, Brassicaceae.
AUUUUCUGAUAAAAAAAUCACAAUCAAUUCAUUUAAUUUCCAAGGAUGAAAAAAUCUCUUAUAUUUUCAUUUAAUGUUCUAACUUUUAUCAUCAUUCUUACACUAGUGGCAGGAGCGAUGGGGAAUAUAGGGCAAG